RNA transcript from Lepisosteus oculatus (spotted gar), 2635 nucleotides. It is a transcript of the gene named alpha-centractin, with no coding region annotated. The record is from RefSeq and is a predicted model, not a curated record. Lineage: Eukaryota; Metazoa; Chordata; Actinopteri; Semionotiformes; Lepisosteidae.
AGCUUGCACAUGCAAGGUGCAUGGCCCGUGUAUUGUCAGCGGACCUUUGCGGGACCCCCUGGCGUCCCCCCAUCACACACCCCAGUCGGAUCAGCCGCACCCCGGCGAGCUGUCGGGCGCCGGAGAUGAGGCGGUACCCGAACCCGAGCCCGAUCUAGCGGGCUUUGCAGCCACCCGGAAAGCCCAGGACAGAGCACGGGUCGCAGGCAGACUGUUGUCAAUUUUUAAUCUCAUUUUCCGUGUAUGUCUGAAAGAAUAGAUGAAACGGGAUGCUCGGGGGAAGAAUCCUUCAAUCCCGUUGGACACCUCUCACGCCUAUCCAUUCGGAAACGGGCGGGUGUUGUCCUCCUGUGGCGAGGUUGAUUGGCUGAGGUGUGCAGGGAGCGUCGUCUAUGGAUAUGUUUCCUGUCAGUCCGAGAAAAGCUGGGGUGUUUUUUUUUUUCAGGGCCAGGGUAUUCUUGGAGGGCUCUGGUGUUAUAAAAGCUGGGUUUGCAGGAGAUCAGAUUCCGAAGUACUGCUUUCCUAAUUAUGUGGGGAGGCCGAAGCACGUCCGCGUCAUGGCUGGAGCCCUGGAAGGUGACAUCUUCAUCGGCCCGAAGGCAGAGGAGCACAGGGGCCUGCUGCGAAUCCGCUACCCCAUGGAGCACGGGAUCGUGAAAGACUGGAACGACAUGGAGAGGAUCUGGCAUUAUGUCUACUCCAAGGACCAGCUGCAGACCUUCUCUGAAGAGCACCCCGUCCUGCUGACGGAGGCCCCCCUGAAUCCUCGGAGAAACCGGGACCGCGCGGCGGAGGUCUUCUUCGAGACCUUCAACGUCCCGGCGCUCUUCAUCUCCAUGCAGGCAGUGCUCAGUCUGUACGCCACAGGGCGGACCACCGGGGUGGUGCUGGACGCGGGGGAUGGCGUGACCCACGCAGUGCCCAUCUACGAGGGCUUCGCCAUGCCCCACUCCAUCAUGAGAAUCGACGUCGCCGGCCGGGAUGUCUCCAGAUACUUGCGCCUCUACCUGCGCAAGGAGGGCUACGACUUCCACACCUCCUCCGAGUUUGAGAUCGUCAAGUCCAUCAAGGAGCGGGCCUGCUUCCUCUCCAUCAACCCCCAGAAGGACGAGACCCUGGACACCGAGAAAGCGCAGUACACGCUCCCGGACGGCAGCACCAUUGAGAUUGGGCCGGCUAGAUUCCGUGCCCCCGAGCUGCUCUUCCGGCCGGACCUGGUGGGUGAGGAGUGUGAAGGGAUUCACGAGGUGCUGGUCUUUGCCAUUCAGAAGUCUGACUUGGACCUGCGGAGGACCCUCUUCUCCAACAUUGUCCUCUCAGGGGGCUCCACGCUUUUCAGAGGAUUUGGAGACAGACUUCUGAGUGAAGUGAAGAAGCUAGCGCCGAAAGACGUCAAAAUCAAAAUCUCUGCUCCCCAGGAGAGGUUAUAUUCCACAUGGAUUGGUGGCUCCAUCCUGGCCUCCCUGGACACCUUUAAGAAAAUGUGGGUGUCUAAGAAGGAAUAUGAGGAGGACGGCGCCCGAGCUAUCCACAGGAAGACCUUCUAACUGGGCGCUUUCAGGCCCUGUGAACUGCUUUCACUCCUGGGGGGGCGCUUGUCUGAGGGCUGGUGUGUAGCUGUGACUGCAGGACUGGAUGUGAAGAGCGACGUGGAGAAAGAGAGAGAGAGAGAUCUGGGGGCUGCACCUCCACCCAGCAGCGUGGUGCACAUUUAGGGUGCACUCUGGGUUUCAGCUCGGCCAUUAAGCGUCCUUCAAGAUCUCUGGAUCAGCGCUGUGCAGGGGGCUCCUCCGCUUCACCACGCUGAGCUGCUCCGGCUGCUGCCGAGUCUGGGGUUUUAGAGGAAGCUCUGCUGCCGACAUGGUGGGGGUUUUGAAAGCUGUUGAUAAGCUAGUUGGUCUGUGCAAGUGUGUCUCUAUUUAUGCCUUAAAGGAAUAGUUCAAUAUUUCAUGAGGAGUUGGUGUCCCUGAAUAGAACAUAGAGUGCCCAAGGUUAUGUAGUUUGUUCUCCUGUUUGAGAAUUUUAGACAUGAACGUAGGGUCACGUGGUUUGUAGUAUGAGCAGAUGAUGAUGGUAGAGGAAGUUCUAGCAGUGGAAUUGGGGGGGGGAGUGCUUUAAUUUUGAUGUGGAUGUAUUUGGCCUUACCACUAGUUUCACGAGCACAAUCUCUCCGAAUGACUACAACAGCCUCGUGUUAGCCAAAACUGUCCCCCAUUGCUUGCCCAUAUGAUGUACCUGCUGUUCUGCAGAGUGUUUGAGGUAGGCUGUCAACACCCUGCACAACGUGUUAAUGUUAUAAGAAGCAUGGAUCCCAAAUCCCCAGAAUGAUUAUGACAUGCAUUGCUUUUGACAUAUCAGGGUUUGACAUAUCAAGUCGCGCUGUGAUGUCACUGUGCUGUGCCGGAUGUAGGUCAUUUACUACAGUAGAGCCUUCACUUUUGCGAAGGUUCAGAGUAGAUAACUGGCAAAUUUGCAUAUAACCUAGUCCACCUGUAUACCAUCUCAUAAUGCACUACAGUAUAUAGUAUGUAUGGUUCAAAGACAUAAAUAACCCUCACUUAUAUGAUAAUUAAAGAAGUUCAAGUAGGUAGCUGCGUCAGCAUGCGUAGGCUGCAAAGGAACAAGUGAAGGUUUA